GACGAACGCUGGCGGCGUGCUUAACACAUGCAAGUCGAACGGAAAGGCCCCUUUGGGGGUACUCGAGUGGCGAACGGGUGAAUAACACGUGAGUAACCUGCCCUUGACUUCGGGAUAACAUCAGGAAACUGGGGCUAAUACCGGCUAGGAAUCCUUGCUGCAUGGUGGGGGUUGGAAAGCUUCGGCGGUUUUGGAUGGACUCGCGGCUUAUCAGCUUGUUGGUGGGGUAGUGGCUUACCAAGGCUGUGACGGGUAGCCGGCCUGAGAGGGCGACCGGCCACCUUGGGACUGAGAUACGUCGCAGACUCCUACGGGCGGCAGCAGUGGGGAGUAUUGCACAAUGGGCCGGAGCCUGAUGCAGCAGCGCCGCGUGCGGGAUGACCGCCUUCGGGUUGUAAACCGCUUUCAGCAGGGGCGAAGCUUGUGGUGACGGUACCUGCAGAAGAAGCACCGGCUAACUACGUG
This 465-nucleotide ribosomal RNA is filed under the name uncultured bacterium. RNAcentral describes it as "partial 16S ribosomal RNA". It matches the Rfam family "Bacterial small subunit ribosomal RNA", at positions 28 to 507 of the family's 1533-position model. The record is from RNAcentral.